GACAGAGGGUGCAACCGUUGUUCGGAAUUACUGGGCGUAAAGCGCGUGUAGGCGGUUUGGUAAGUCGGAUGUGAAAGCCCCGGGCUCAACCCGGGAAGUGCACUCGAUACUGCCAAGCUAGAGUAUCGGAGAGGUUGGUGGAAUUCUCGGUGUAGAGGUGAAAUUCGUAGAUAUCGAGAGGAACACCGGUGGCGAAGGCGGCCAACUGGACGAAUACUGACGCUGAGGAGCGAAAGCGUGGGGAGCGAACAGG
This 253-nucleotide ribosomal RNA is filed under the name uncultured bacterium. RNAcentral describes it as "partial 16S ribosomal RNA". It matches the Rfam family "Bacterial small subunit ribosomal RNA", at positions 524 to 776 of the family's 1533-position model. The record is from RNAcentral.